Molecule: ribosomal RNA, 259 nt
Filed under: Escherichia coli
Lineage: Bacteria; Pseudomonadati; Pseudomonadota; Gammaproteobacteria; Enterobacterales; Enterobacteriaceae
Description: partial 16S ribosomal RNA
Rfam family: Bacterial small subunit ribosomal RNA
Source: RNAcentral
GCUGACGAGUGGCGGACGGGUGAGUAAUGUCUGGGAAACUGCCUGAUGGAGGGGGAUAACUACUGGAAACGGUAGCUAAUACCGCAUAACGUCGCAAGACCAAAGAGGGGGACCUUCGGGCCUCUUGCCAUCGGAUGUGCCCAGAUGGGAUUAGCUAGUAGGUGGGGUAACGGCUCACCUAGGCGACGAUCCCUAGCUGGUCUGAGAGGAUGACCAGCCACACUGGAACUGAGACACGGUCCAGACUCCUACGGGAGGC